CGAAACAACACCCAAGAGAACCAAAACCAAACACGCAAACAACGUUGAGGGCACACGACGAAGGGGACUGUGUGCUGCGAUUAGGCGAGGCGCUGAUUUCCACCACCUCCACAAACGCACCUCCACACGUUGUACGGACCUUCAGCGUCGUUAACCCACUCAGACCCACGCACGCACGCACGGCGUCCACGCGACACCCUCCGCCUCUCUCACCUCAGCAAGCUGUGCUGGUACGGGUGCCUUUUGACCGCGCGCCAUUUCCUUGCCCUCAACGCCGCUCCUCUCUUCACCGCUGCAUUGAAGGCGGCUCGGCAAGAUGAACGCCCUCUCAAGCCCUCGGGCUUCCAUCGGCAAGCACCGCGCCUUGCACAGCGCGGCUGCCGGCAAUGCGGCUCGAAAGCAGAGCAGCGGCGGACAAGCAGAGGUGAUUGCCGCGGUGCUGGGGCGGGAGUCGAACAAGCCAGCUGCCGAGGUCGUCGUGGAGCGCAUCCUAAAAGCUGCCGACCCGCACGUGAUGUCGGUACCGGUGUACUACGAUUAUAAGAAGGAUGCGCGCGUGUAUAAGUGCUUCCCCAGUACACGGCAGGUUUCGACCCUCUUCGCCAUGGACGGCAACACUAUCGCUAAAGACUCGCCUGAGGCGCUGCAGCAGGAGGAGGAUCGCCAUCGCCGCAUCCAGGAGGUGGAGGUGGCCGCCGCGGCGGAAACGAACCCGGACUUGGUCGAGGAAGGUGUGUCCACACGCAUUCUCAAGAACCAGUUCAACUAUAGCGACCGUGGCAGCCAGACAAUGAACCAGCCGAUGAAGGAGCGCACCGUCAUGACGGACCCGCCGCCGUCGGCCUCCUUUGGCGGGCUCGCGACGGCGUGGGCUAUCUACGACGCCUACGAGGGGGAGCGCAUCCAGGCCGAGAAGGCAGCCGCGGCGCAACGGCGUGCCGCCCAAGCCGCACGAACGAGCAAGGAUGAAGAGAACGCGCUCACCCAUGCCGCGGCCGAAGCGUCUAUCCGCGAUGGUGCGGAUGUCGGCCCGAAAGGCGUGGUGGAGCUGCUGGCGUCGCCGGAGUUUCGCAGCGCACUGCAGGUAAUGGAGCGCAUGGUGAACCAGAACGAUUGCCAGGAUAUCAUUGACGACUUCAAAUACUGGGAGGAUCAGAGCGAUCUUUACAAGGAGGACGGCACGCUGCUGCCCUUGUGGCGAUUCUUCACGGAGAAGACGCGCAAGAAGGCCGUUACUGCCAUUGCCCUCAACGGUCGCUACUCGGACCUCUUCGCAGUCGGCUACGGUAGCUACGACUUCUUGAAGCCGUGCAAGGGCACGGUUCACUGCUUCACUCUCAAGAACGCAGUGCCGACGGGCUCUGGCGCCCCCGUUCCGGCGCACCCGGAGUUCUCCUUUCACCUAGACUGCGGUGUGCUCUGUCUCGCUUUCCACCCACGUGAGCACUCGCUGCUUGCCUGCGGCCUCUAUGAUGGCAGCGUGUGCGUGUUCGACAUGCGGGUGAGCUCCCACGACACGGGGAGUGCGAACCACGGUCGCCCGCUCUACCGCGCCAACGUGCGUACUGGUAAGCACAUGGACCCUGUGUGGCAGAUCAUGUGGAUGGAGAGCACACCAGAGCUGUCCUUCUACUCCAUAAGCACAGAUGGCCGCGUGGCGAACUGGAUGCUGAGCAAGAGGGAGCUGACGUCGCGGGACGUGCUGAAGCUUAACACUGGCGUUUGCACCGUGGACCCGGAGCAGAUGCUGCUGAAUGAGCUCGGCGGCAUGUCGUUCGACUACUCACCCGCCCACGACAAGAUGGUCGUCGGCACGCAGGAGGGCAACCUGCUCCUGUGCACGGUCAGCCACAAUGGCCAGUGCGUCGAGCGCUAUGAGGGGCACAGCAUGGCGGUCUACACGACGCGCUGGAGCCCAUUCCACCCGGACAUCUUCCUCACCUGCUCGGCAGACUGGACUGUCAAGCUGUGGAUGAAGGGCUCUCCCUCUCCGUUGGUCGUGUUUGACCUCGGCGACGCCGUCGGCGAUGUCGCGUGGGCGCCGUACAGCUCCACCGUGUUCGCCGCCGUCACCGCGGGUGGCAAAGUGUGCGUAUUCGACGUAGCACAGAACAAGACGGAGCCCCUGUGCGCGCAGACAGUCGUGAAGAACGCGAAGCUGACUCACAUUGUCUUCAGUGAGGCGGACCCGAUACUGUUCGUCGGUGACACUCGCGGCACCGUUCUGACUCUCAAGCUGUCUCCUAACUUGCGUAAGGUGUCGAAACCCGGAAAGGGGGAGCCGACGGAUGCGGCGCACAUCAAGACGUUGGAGGUAGAGAAGCUGAACCACCUGGUAGAGGUCACCAUGAAGGACCGCGCGCUGUUGGGUGUGUAGAAGGAACACAAGGCGGGAUGCGUGCCGCCUCCUCCUGCACACAAGCGCGCUGCUCAGUUGCUCUUCCCUUUCUCUCUUAUGGGGCUCUCGCCGUGAUUGUUAGCGGGCCAGCACACGCAUGUGCCGGUGUCAGAAUUGGUGUAGGAGACCACGCGGCAGUUUCGUGUGGGCUGCGGAUGGACGUGUUUGUUUUCGCGUCGCGUUGUUUCUCCUCUGUUGCACCUCCGACGCGGCUGUUGCUCCUCGAUCCGCCCUCUGCGCCCCAUGGCACUUGGGUGUGAAAGGUGUGACUAUGGAGAUGUGCUACGGAGUUGGCUUUUGUUGUUGCUGUUGCUGUUUGUGUGUGUGUGCAUGUGCAUGUGCAUGCUUCUCCUCUCCCGUUCUCCCUCGAUGCGCGCUGUGUAGAUAGCUGGUGUUUUAGACUGCGCACCAGACGACACCCACAUACGGAGAGAACGGAGAGGACGGGGGGAGGCAGAGAGGUGCCAGAUAGAAGGGAUCGCUGCAUCCCGCUGUACAGGAGAGGAGCACGUGCACUCACAGGGAGACGUGAAUAAUGAUUGUGGUCGUGCAGCGGCGGGGAUCGGAAGGGAUGGAGGAGGGAGGAGAGGGCGCGGCAGGAGUAAAGGUAGAGGAGUGAGGGCGAAGCUCGGGGCGGGGCAUUGGGUCGCUCCACCUCCGCCCAACGUUUUUUCCUUCCACGCCCCUCUCUCGCCUGCAAAUCCACUGGGCACUGCCGAGUAACUCCCCACCUCUCUUGUCCGUCGCAGCUGCCUCCUUCCAUCGCCGACUCGCCCCUACGUCUUCCCUUGCCCAGCCUUCCUCUCUCUCUCCCCUUUCUUGCUCUGUUCUUUCAAUGCUUUCUUGCCUUCUCUGAUGUAACCAAGUACGAUGUACAGCGGACCUUUGCGUGUGGCCGUGGGUGUGGGUGUGUGGGGGCUUUCUAUGCGCGUGAAUGUUUUGUUCCUCUGCACAUCGCUCUACAUGUGUAUCUGUGUGUGUGUGUGUGCUUGCUUGCUUGCUUGCUUGGCUGCAGAUGUGGCACUGUGCCUCCCCUACGUCACCACUGACCUUUUG
This 3454-nucleotide unclassified non-coding RNA is filed under the name Leishmania donovani. RNAcentral describes it as "gene:LdHU3.24.0310(CDS-product:Dynein_inediate_ch ain_1_axonemal)". The record is from RNAcentral. Lineage: Eukaryota; Euglenozoa; Kinetoplastea; Trypanosomatida; Trypanosomatidae.